This 253-nucleotide ribosomal RNA is filed under the name uncultured bacterium. Its description in RNAcentral is "partial 16S ribosomal RNA". It matches the Rfam family "Bacterial small subunit ribosomal RNA", at positions 524 to 776 of the family's 1533-position model. The record is from RNAcentral.
UACGGAGGGUGCAAGCGUUGUCCGGAUUUAUUGGGCUUAAAGGGUGCGUAGGCGGCUUCAUAAGUCCGUGGUGAAAGCCAACAGCUCAACUGUUGAACUGCCAUGGAUACUGUGAGGCUUGAGUACAGACGAGGUAGGCGGAAUGGAUCGUGUAGCGGUGAAAUGCAUAGAUACGAUCCAGAACACCGAUUGCGUAGGCAGCUUACUAGGCUGUAACUGACGCUGAGGCACGAAAGCGUGGGGAGCGAACAGG